This 281-nucleotide long non-coding RNA is filed under the name Elaeis guineensis (African oil palm). RNAcentral describes it as "long non-coding RNA (EGUI_LNC050324)". Lineage: Eukaryota; Viridiplantae; Streptophyta; Magnoliopsida; Arecales; Arecaceae. The record is from RNAcentral.
GGGCCUGUAUUGAGAGCUUUCUUGAAGGUCGGGAAUUUUGAUAAGAACCUCAAUCCUUGCUGAGACGAGGUUCCUUGCAUCUUUGACGCAAUUUGUUUUCCAUUCAUCGCUGAUGCAGUCCGUUGCUUUCCUUUUUAACUCCCCUCCCCUUUUUCUUUUUCUUUUAUCGAGUGAGGGUUUUCUCGUUGCUCUUGGUGGGGUCAUGGGAGUGCGAAGGGGCUACUGAGAAGGUCCCCUUUUUCUAAUCCGAUCUUGGAUGAUCGGACCUCAAUUGGUGUUAG